UACCGAGCGUAGGCCGUUCUCGUCUCUUAUCUCCUCGCUUCUAGUAUCCUGCCAGUCACUUUCCCCUCUCAGUUUCAGUCUCUCUUCUCCUCCAUGUGUCGUCUCCUCUUCCUAUGCAGAGCUAGGGUUCGUCGAGUUCGUCCUCUCCUCUUCCUAUCUAGUUCUGCUUUAGUUUCUGAAGAGACUAAGAUCUUGCUGUUAAAAUUUGCAGGAUUUGCAUCUCGACGUUUUUCUUGGUUUAGGAGAUCUCCUUUGGUGCUUCUGCUCUUUUCCAGGUAUAUUUUUUUGUCUUGAAUCUUCUUUCUGAGUAGUUUUUGGUCAGGGUUUCUUGUUUAGCAUGCUAUCUUGUGUAGCAUGCUUUCUCUAUUGAUUCUGUUUUCUUCAGAUCUGUUCCAAUGUCUGCCAGGUUAGGGUUCUUUUGUUGUUGGGGUAGUACAAGUAGAUCUUUAUGGUUCUUGUCUAUCAUGUUUCAGUUAGGGUAUCUGUUUUCUUCAGAUUUGAUCUAAUUUUUGCCUGAUUAGGGUUUCUACAGAUAUGUGUUUAUGGUGGUAGUACGAGUAGUAUGGUUAGGGUUCUUUGUUUAUCAUGCUUAGAUUAGGAUUUUCGUUGUGUUUAUAUUUUGCUCUGACUGUUGGCAUGUUAAGUUUACUUUUGAGAUUUGAUCUGAUUUUUAUUUAGUAAGGUUUUUUUUCAUUAAUCUUAGAUAUGUAUGUCUUGAAAGGUCAAAUCCUUUUUGUUUAUAUUGUUAAUCUAAUGCUAUUCAUAGGUCGUGUCACUAUUGGCCGUAUUUUAUUUCGUGAGUUUUUGCAUGCAGUGUGUGUAUGCUCUAUGUUAUGUCAAAUCCUUAAAGUUUUUUAACUAUCUUUUUGUUCUUAUAUUUUUUAUUAUGCUAAUGUUUUUAUUUUUAGUUCCUGUAUUUGUAAUAUUUCUGUACAUAGCUUUUUUAGUAUACUGGUGCUUGUAGUUUUUGGUCCCUGCACUUAUAAUAUGCUUGUUCCAAGCUGGUAUAGCAUGGCUGUAUUUGUAUUUGUAUUUUUGUAAAGCAAUUUGCUUGUAUUGGAUUUCUGCAAAUUUUAAAGGGCGCAUGUGUAGUUUAGGUAGAUUUAAACUGUCCUGAUAACCUCUAAACAAAAGAAAUAACAUAAUCUUUCAAAAAUGAAUAAAUGCCGGUGAUCUUUUUCCUUUUGAUAUUCUGUGUGCAUAUUUUAAUCUAAGUAGAAUACAGUUAAGUGAUUUGCCUAAUCUUGCAUGAUUACUCUUUGCUUUUGAGCAACUUACGCAAAUUUAGGUCCAUGAUCAUGCAAUAUCUUCAAUUUAUAUUCAUGAAUUUGGUUCGUUGUAUUACUUACAUCUUCACUUCUUUGAAGAUAUCUACCUAGAGUUGGAAUUCAGUUUUUGAGUUUUCUUUUUUUUAUGUCCAAUUUAUCCUAUGCUUUAAUUAGAAUGUAUUUUUUUGGUGUUCUAUAGUUCAUCUAGGUUCUCCGGGUUUUUUAUCCCCUGUUGGGUAAUUAGAUAAUUUUUCCUUUUUAUUUAAGUUUUAUUUUUUAUUUUCUGUAUGUAUGGUUUGCCCGUGCGCCGUGCCUGCCGUUCGAGCCACCUGGAGGAUUUCCUCAAGUGUUUGAUGUUGUCCUUGACAAGGAUUGCUUCAUGCGGAUGGUGAGUUGUAUCAAUCAUUUCUUUAUAGCUAUAUUUUCUUUGUAGACAUCAAUAUAUCCGUAUAUGUUUACUUAGUUCCUGCAUUUCUUUUGUAUAAUCAUGGCUAAUACAGAACUCGUUGAAUUAAGGGUUCGUUCCCCAUUCUUUGACUAGGUUGUCUUUGUUUGUAGUUAUAUUAAUCAUUUAUUUUAUAGAUUGUGUUAAGGGCAAUUUUCUUGUAUUGGAUUUGUGCAAUUUGUAAAAAGGAUUUUUAUAGGUUGUAUUAAGGAUUUAUGUUGUGUUUACAUUAGAAGUUUUCUUUGUCAGAAAAUAAAAAACAUACUUUCUUUAGUUUACUUGUGUACAAGUUUUAUCUGUAUAAAUUAGAGCUACCCAUGUUUCCCUUUUGAAAUACACUGAUGUAAACACAACAUCAUGAAGUUUUAGUUCUGGUAGUUUUUGGUGAAUUAACUUGUUUUAAUCAGCUUGAAACUGUACUGAUUUUUCCAUAGUUCAUCCUAUGAUUUCUUCUUUUUUGGUUAACUACCUUUGUGGAUGUGUAUUUGUAAAAAAUAUGUAUGUGCAAGUUUUAUCUGUAUAUUAAUGUUUUUUUCUAACCAUGAUGUUUUGGCUAGUAUAUCUAGUAUGUCUAGAAAUAUUUAGAGAUAGCAGUACCAUUUGUUAUUUUUUGCAGUUAUUCUUUGUGUGCAAGUUUCAUGUAAGACUAGUAUAAUAUAAUUUUUUUAUUACACUAGCUUGAUAUUGUUCUUAAAUUUUCAUAGUCUACCUAUCUGUUUUUUAUAUGUUAAUUAUGUUUUUGAAUUGAUAACUACAACAUCUAUUUUGUUAACUUAUUAUAAGAGCCUAAGUAUGCAUGUAGUGUACAUUUAUAUCUCCCCAAUGUUUUUGCUGCUACAAGUUUAGUUCUCCCUACUUGCAAAUUUUACGGAGGUGUUGUGCCUUAGCCGUUUUCAAUCAGUUUGUAAUUGAACUAGGGGGGUAGAUGCUACGUUUAACUUUUCUAAUUACGUAGACAUGCUAUUUGUACUAUAUUUUUUUUCAUAUGUUACUCUUAACCAACAAUUGCAAGUUUAGAUUUAUGUAUAUGCAAGUUUAGUUCGUAUGAAGAAAUUUUUUAAUCUCUGAUUUUAGGGUGGUUUUCUGCUCUACUUGUAGUUCGACAACUUGUAUUACAAACAGGCGCAACUUUACUUCUUAUGAUUAAAUUUUCAAUUUCUGUCUUUAGGUGGGUGUUCUGCCUUUCUUGUAGUUCAACAUUUUUUUGUACAAGUACAAACAUGUUAUUUUUUACUGUAGUAUGAAUUUGUAUUGUUCAAUUCUCUGAAUUUCUGACAGCAAAUGUACAUUCAAGUGUUCUCGCUAUUUUUUUCUAUUUCUGGUUACAUCAUUUUUUGCUGGGCACUAAAGAGACAGGAUAUAACUUUUCUAAUUAUGUGUUGUUGUUGAACAACUACAACAAGUUUAGUUCUCCCUACUUGCAAAUUUUACCGAGGUGUUCUGCCUUAGCUGUUUUCAAACAUUUUGUAAUUGAACUAGGGGGUAGAUGUUACGUUUAACUUUUCUAAUUAUGUAGACAUGCUAUUUGCACUUUUUUUUUAUAUGUUGCUCUUGACCAACAAUUGCAAGUUCAAAUUUAUGUAUAUGCAAGUUUAGUUCAUAUGAAGAAAAAAAAUUAAAUUCUGAUUUUAGGGUGGUGUUCUUCUCUACUUAUAGCUCAACAACUUGUAUUACAAACAGGCGCAAUUUUACUUCUUAUGAUUAAACUUUCAAUUUCUGCCUUUAGGUGGGUGUUCUGCCUUUCUUGUAGUUCAACAUCUUUUAGUACAAGUACAAACAUGUUAUUUUUUAGUCAUAAGUUAUAGUAUGAAUUUGUAUUGUUCAAUUGUCUGAAUUUCUAACAGCAAAUGUGUAUUCUGGUGUUGUCACUAUCUUUUUCUAGUUCCAGUUACAUCAUUUUUUGCUGGGCAGUAAAGAGACAGAAUAUAACUUUUCUAAUUAUUUGUUGUUGUUGAACAACUACUACAAGUUUAGUUCUCCCUACAAGAACUUUGGGCAAUCAGAGGAGAAGGACAUAGCAUGGAAGAAAUGUAGAGGAUGGAGAUCUAUCGAGACACCAGAGGGCGGCAGUAUCCGAGUUUUGUUCAUGAGUCCAUGGUGGCGCUGGUGAUGGGGGAAGGAGGGGCAAGGAAGAAGACCUAGUUAUAUGCCCGUGAGCUGGAUCCAGAUCUCUGAAGGUAGUGGGUUUGGUUUCUUAGCAGGGUCAGGCCCGUUUAAUUUUGGGUUGUAUAGAUGGCAAAACAUCAAAAGGGGUUUCAGCGCUGGAUCAGUGAUGUUUUUUUCCUUUUGGGCUGAUUCGACUGACGCUUAGUUCAGGUCAGUCAAUUUUCUUUUGCUUUCCAUCAUUCUGCUCUUCUUUAGGAAUCGACUGACACAAUUGUAGAGUCAGUCGAUUGACUUGUAGCCGCUCCCAUCCAACAUAUAUACUUCACGGCCAAAAAGAAGGCAUGCAGUUAAACUUGAUAUGAAAGUCUUCUUUUCGUUUAAGGUGAAGUAAGACAAAGUUCAUGGGCUUGUAUUACCCUUAUCGGGAUUGUUAAAUCUCAAUCGACUGAGACUAACUAUACCCAUGAGAUCUUGUGGAGAUCCGUGUAAACAAAUUUUAAUUCUUUUUCUUUCUUCUCUAUUAUGUGUUCUGUCACUUGAUUGAGACUUUGUUAAGUCUCAAUCGACUAAGAUCUAGCCACACUCUAUCUUUAUAUCGUAACAAAUUAGUAGUUGAUGGUGAUGGGAUCCGGCACGUGCCCCCUUUCCCUUUGUGAUGUGAUUGCAUGUGAAUGUCAAAAAGGAAUGGAUAUAGUUUUUUCUCGCUUUUGGCAUAGCACGCCGUACUUUGGGAGGCCCACACGACAGACUAUUAGCUGAGUGGUAGAGCGCACCCUUGAUAACCGCGUCAUUGUGCCUGGGUUGUGAGGGAUCUCAGUCAUAUCGAUAGUUCAAUGUGCUCAAAAGUGCCUGGGUUUUUUCUCGCACAUUGGAAUGACAUACUCUUCCAGUUUGAACCAGAGUUGGCAUCUCCAAGGGUGUGGGCCAAAUUCAGUACCUAAUUGUCCACGUCAUACUCUGCUUGUCUGGCGCCCCCUACUUCUCCCUUGCUUGCAUGAUCCUUUUUUUUCAAACAAAAUUUUUCGCUUCAACAUUGAUUUUCCAUAUAAGUAAUUUAAAGAUAAGUAUUAGGAUGCAAAAAUAAUUCAAAGAUUAAUAUCACAAUUCAAACAUAAUUUCCAAACUAUAUAGUUCAAACUUAAAUUUAAUUUAAUUCAUCCCAAUGUAGAACCCUUGAAGUUGAUGACAUGCUCCUCUUCCUUCUCAGUUUCAUCAAGCCCACUCAUCAUCACCACCGGUUCGUCGUCCGGAUCGUUUUUUUGAUGACAAAGAUUCAAUAAGUCACUAUAGAAUUAUCAUCAUCUGAAUCCAUCGUGUUUCCAUGCAAAUGAACAACAAAUUUGUCGAAAAUGACAUAUGCUAUGUUCAGUGAUUUCACCAAACACUUGGUGUCCAAGGUGUUCGGCAUAGACAUCAUUGGUUAAGGGGCGCACCUAAGAAGAGAGGAGGGGGAGUUGGGAGACAGAUUCCUCGUUCAAAGGGAUUGCGAUGGUGGAGGCGAGGUGGGAUGCCUCCGGAUGGACAAUGCUGGUGAUGUGAACUGACGGUGGCCAUGAGAUCGAGGGGACGGAGGUGGGGCGACUAGGGAUUGACUCAACAUGGUGGAGUGGAUGGAAGGGCAAGCAUAGUGACGAGGUGGAGAGGCGGGAGGACCGUAAUAGCCCGGACAACAAUCAUGGGAGCGGUGCCAGGGUAGUAGGGUGUGGGGGAGGAGGAUGUGAGUGGGGAGGAAGGGGUUCGAUUGGGUUCUGGGUAGUGCCGGAUCCAGGAAUUAAAUGAAUGGUGUGCACACUCCAAAAAAAAUUAUCUAAUCGAAGUGGCAUACAAUAUGUGGCAAAAGAAUUGAAAUAUUAGCUAAAUUCAAGUCUCGCAACAUUCUAGUUUAGGAUAUUCCAAAUGUGCUCAACUACAAUACGAAUAUGUUUACAUGAAAGAUACAAAAGAAGAAAAUUACAAUACUAGGAAGACUACGCUUCUGCAUUGCCAUGAAAGCCUCACCUAUGUUAUCUUCACUUACUUCAAAGAACACAUCCGUUCAACAAAUGUCACUAAGCAAUCAUUCAAGAGAUCAUCACUCAUACUAUUUCCCAAUUUACUUUCCACUAGAUUUAUUGCAAAAGAUGCGACAUCAGUGCCAACUUUGAUAAGUGUACCAAGUCGUAAAGAUCAUGAUUAUUUGUUUCAACAAGCAUAAUAGAGAGCUCACUAAUAAUAGUUACAUCUCUAAACAUAUCAUCUCUUGUUUCACAUUGUCACCAAUAAUACUUGUUUCAACAAGCAUAAUAGAGAGCUCACCAAUAAUACAGAGCAUAGAAGUUUCACAUUGUCACCAAUAAUACUUGUUUCAACAAGCAUAAUAGAGAGCUCACCAAUAAUAGAUAGCAUAGAAGUUUCACAUUGUCACCAAUAAUACUUGUUUCAACAAGCAUAAUAGAGAGCUCACCAAUAAUACAGAUCCUUACCAAAUCCGUGCUUGAUAUGUCCAGGGGUAGAAUUCGGCAAGUCUCGUUACCUCGAAUGCAUAAUAAGAAGCAAACUAAUUGAGGGGAUUCAAAGCUGAUAUGGAAAUAAGUAAUGCCAUAUUAACCUCAUCAAACCAAUUGUCAAGCUCGUGAAUGAUUUGAUCAAUCAUACCAAGAUAUAUGAUACGUCUCCAACGUAUCUAUAAUUUUUGAUUGCUCCAUGCUAUAUUAUAUUUUGUUUUGAACAUUAUUGGGCUUUAUUAUCCACUUUUAUAUUAUUUUUGGGACUAACCUAUUAACCCAGAGCCCAGUGCCAGUUCCUGUUUUUUCCCUUGUUUCAGUGUUUCGAAGAAAAGGAAUAUCAAACGGAGUCGAAACGGAAUGAAACCUUCUGGAGAAGUUAUUUUUGGAAGGAAAGCAACCUGAUAGACUUGGAGUGCACGUCGGGAAAGAAACGAGGGAGCCACGAGGUAGGGGGCGCGCCCUCCACCCUCGUGGGCCCCUCGUGGCUCCCCUGACGUACUUCUUCCUCCUAUAUAUACCCAUAUACCCUAAAACGAUCGGUGUUGGAAAUAUGUCCUAGAGGCAAUAAUAAAUUGGUUAUGAUUAUAUUUCCUUGUUCAUGAUAAUCGUUUAUUAUCCAUGCUAGAAUUGUAUUGAUAGGAAACUCAGAUACAUGUGUGGAUACAUAGACAACACCAUGUCCCUAGUAAGCCUCUAGUUGACUAGCUCGUUGAUCAAUAGCUGGUUACGGUUUCCUGACCAUGGACAUUGGAUGUCGUUGACAACGGGAUCACAUCAUUAGGAGAAUGAUGUGAUGGACAAGACCCAAUCCUAAGCCUAGCACAAGAUCGUGUAGUUCAUAUGCUAAAGCUUUUCUAAUGUCAAGUAUCAUUUCCUUAGACCAUGAGAUUGUGCAACUCCCGGAUACCAUAGGAGUGCUUUGGGUGUGCCAAACAUCACAACGUAACUGGGUGGCUAUAAGGUACACUACGGGUAUCUCCGAAAGUGUCUGCUGGGUUGGCACGAAUUGAGACUGGGAUUUGUCACUCCGUGUAACGGAGAGGUAUCUCUGGGCCCACUCGGUAGGACAUCAUCAUAAUGUGCACAAUGUGACCAAGGAGUUGAUCACGGGAUGAUGUGUUACGGAACGAGUAAAGAGACUUGCUGGUAACGAGAUUGAACAAGGUACCGGGAUACCGAUGAUCGAAUCUCGGGCAAGUAUCAUACCGAUAGACAAAGGGAAUUGUAUACGGGAUUGAUUGAAUCCUUGACAUCGUGGUUCAUCCGAUGAGAUCAUCGUGGAGCAUCUGGGAACCAACAUGGGUAUCCAGAUCCCGAUGUUGGUUAUUGACGGAGAGUUGUCUCGGCCAUGUCUGCAUGACUCCCGAACCCGUAGGGUCUACACACUUAAGGUCCGAUGAUGCUAGGGUUAUAGGGAAAGUAUGUACGCAGUUACCGAAUGUUGUUCGGAGUCCUGGAUGAGAUCCCGGACAUCACGAGGAGUUCCGGAGGUAAAGAUUGAUAUAUAGGAAGUAUGGUUUUGGCCACCGGAAGUGUUCCGGGCAUCACCGGUAGUGUACCGGGACCACCGGAGGGGUCCGGGGGUCCACCAGGUGGGGCCACCAGCCCCGGAGGCCUACAUGGGCCAAUAGUGGGAAGGGACCAGCCCCUAGGUGGGCUGGGGCGCCUCCCACCAAGGCCCAAGGCGCCUCCAAGAGGGGAGGGGGCAAACCCUAGGGCAGAUGGGCCCUAAGGCCCACCCCAGGUGUGCCUCCCCCUCUCCCUCUUGUGGCCGCCACCCUAGAUGGGAUCUAGGGCUGCCGCACCCCUUGGGGUGGGAACCCUAGGUGGGGGCGCAGCCCUUCCUCUCCCCCUAUAUAUAGUGGAGGCAAAGGGGCAGCCCUACAUACGAAGUUCUUCCUCUGUUGGCGCAGCCCUACCCCUCUCCCUCCUCGUCUCUCGUAGUGCUUGGCGAAGCCCUGCUGGAGUUCUGCGCUCCUCCACGACCACCACGCCGUCGUGCUGCUGCUGGACGGAGUCUUCCCCAACCUCUCCUUCUCCCCUUGCUGGAUCAGGGCGUAGGAGACGUCACCGGGCUGCACGUGUGUUGAACACGGAGGCGCCGUUGUUCGGUGCUUAGAUCGGAAUCAACCAUGAUCUGAAUCGCUGCGAGUAUGACUCCUUCAUCUGCGUUCUUGCAACGCUUCCGCUUAGCGAUCUACAAGGGUAUGUAGAUGCACUCCCCUUCCCCUCGUUGCUAGAUUACUCCAUAGAUUGAUCUUGGUGAUGCGUAGAAAAUUUUAAAUUUCUGCUAUGAUCCUCAACAAUCGGGGAACAAAAUAGAUCGGGAGUUCAGCCGCCAGAAGCCUCCAUAGCCAUCGAAAACCAAUCUAGACCCGUUCCGGCACCCUGCCGGAGGGGGAAAUCCCUCACCGGUGGCCAUCUUCAUCAUCCCGGCGCUCUCCAUGACGAGGAGGGAGUAGUUCACCCUCGGGGCUGAGGGUAUGUACCAGUAGCUAUGUGUUUGAUCUCUCUCUCUCUCUCUCUCUCUCUCUCUCUCUCGUGUUCUUGAGGUGGUACGAUCUUGAUGUAUCGCGAGCUUUGCUAUUAUAGUUGGAUCUGAUGAUGUUUCUCCCCCUCUACUCUCUUGUAAUGGAUUGAGUUUUCCCUUUGAAGUUAUCUUAUCGGACUGAGUCUUUAAGGAUUUGAGAACACUUGAUGUAUGUCUUGCUUGGGAUACCCGUGGUGACAAUGGGGUAUUCUAUUGAUCCACUUGAUGUAUGUUUUGGUGAUCAACUUGCGGGUUCCGCCCAUGAACCUAUGCAUAGGGGUUGGCACACGUUUUUGUCUUGACUCUCUGGUAGAAACUUUGGGGCACUCUUUGAAGUACUUUGUGUUGGUUGAAUAGAUGAAUCUGAGAUUGUAUGAUGCAUAUCAUAUAAUCAUACCCACGGAUACUUGAGGUGACAUUGGAGUAUCUAGGUGACAUUAGGGUUUUGGUUGAUUUGUGUCUUAAGGUGUUAUUCUAGUACGAACUCUAGGGCUGUUUGUGACACUUAUAGGAAUAGCCCAACGGAUUGAUUUGAAAGAAUAACUUUGAAGUGGUUUCGUACCCUACCAUAAUCUCUUCGUUUGUUCUCCGCUAUUAGUGACUUGGAGUGACUAUUUGUUGCAUGUUGAGGGAUAGUUAUAGGAUGCAAUUAUGUUAAUAUUGUUGAGAGGACUUGCACUAGUGAAAGUAUGAACCCUAGGCCUUGUUUCAACACAUUGCAAUACCGUUUACGCUCACUUUUAUCAUUCGUUACCUUGCUGUUUUUAUAUUUUUCAGAUUACAAAAACUAUUAUCUACCAUCCAUAUACCACUUGUAUCACCAUCUCUUCGCCGAACUAGUGCACCUAUACAAUUUACCAUUGUAUUGGGUGUGUUGGGGACACAAGAGACUCUUUGUUAUUUGGUUGCAGGGUUGCUUGAGAGAGACCAUCUUCAUCCUACGCCUCCUACGGAUUGAUAAACCUUAGGUCAUCCACUUGAGGGAAAUUUGCUACUGUCCUACAAACCUCUUGUAACGCCCUCGAUGCGGCUAUAUCUCCCACGUGUCGAAGCACGACUUAGAGGCAUAACCGCAUUGAAAGCAAUGUCGCAAGUGAGGUAAUCUUCACACAACCCAUGUAAUACAUAAGAGAAAGAGAUACAUAGUUGGCUUACACUCGCCACUUCACACAAUUACAGGAAUAAAGCAUUACAUCAACCAGAUACAAUCAAGGUCCGACUACGGAACCAAAAUAAAAGAAGAACCCCAAAUGCGACAAGGUCCCGAUCGCCCCAACUGGGCACCAGUACUGAUCAACUGGAAACGGAUCAACACAAAGGCCUAGAUCUGUAUCGAGCUCCUCCUUGAGCUUGGUUGCGUCAUCUGCACGGUCUCAUCGGCACCUGCAAGCUGGUUUUGGAAGUAUCUGUGAGCCACGGGGACUCAGCAAUCUCACACCCUCACGAUCAAGACUAUUUAAGCUUAUGGGUAAGGUAAAGGGUAUGAGCUGGAGCUGUAGCAAGCGACUAGCAUAUAUGGUGGCUAACAUACGCAAAUGAGAGCGAGAAGAGAAGGUAAAAGCACGGUCGAACAACUAUGAUCAAGAAGUGAUCCUAGAACAACCUACGUCAAGCAUUACUCCAACAUCGUGUUCACUUCCCGGACUCCGCCGGAAAGAGACCAUCACGGUUACGCACGCGGUUGAUGCAUUUUAAUUAAGGUCAACUUCAGGUUUUCUACAACCGGACGUUAACAAAUUCCCAUCUGCCCAUAACCGCGGGCUCGGCUUUCGAAAGUUCAAAUCCCUGCAGGGGUGUCCCAACUUAGCCCAUCACAAGCUCUCACGGUCAACGAAGGAUAUUCCUUCUAGCGGGAAGACCCGAUCAGACUCGAAAUCCCGGUUACAAGACAUUUCGACAAUGGUAAAACAAGACCAGCAACACCGCCCGAAUGUGCCGACAAAUCCCGAUAGGAGCUACACAUAUCUCAUUCUCAGGGCAGACUCAGAUGAGCACUACGUACAACUAAAAACCAGCCCUCGAGUUUCCCCGAGGUGGCGCUGCAAGUGGCUCUGUUUGGACCAACACUCAGAGGAGCACUGGCCCGGUGGGGUUUAAAUAAAGAUGACCCUCAGGAGCGCGACUCCCAAGGGAAAAAGAGGCUAGGUGGCAAAUGGUAAAACCAAUGUUGGGCAUUGCUGGAGGAGUUUUAUUCAAGGCGAACUGUCAAGGGGUUCCCAUUAUUACCCAACCGCGUAAGGAACGUAAAAUCUGGGAACAUAACACCGAUAUGACGGAAACUAGGGCGGCAGAGUGGAACAAAACACCAGGCAUAAGGCCGAGCCUUCCACCCUUUACCAAGUAUAUAGAUGCAUUAAUUAAAUAAGAUAUAUUGUGAUAUCCCAACAAGUAAACAUGUUCCAACAAGGAACAACUUCUCCAUGUUCCAACAAGGAACAAACUUCAAUCUCCACCUGCAACUAACAUAGCUAUAAGAGGGGCUGAGCAAAGCGGUAACAUAGCCAAACAACGGUUUGCUAGGACAAGGUGGGUUAGAGGCUUGGUUCAACAAUAUGGGUGGCAUGAUUAGCAAGUGGUAGGUAUCGCAGCAUAGGCAUAGCAAAAGAGCGAGCAACUAAGCAAGCAAAGAUAGAAGUGAUUUCAAGGGUAUGGUCAUCUUGCCUGAAAUCUCGCAAGGAAGAAGAACGAGUCCAUGAAGAAGAUAAACGGACGUAGUCGAAUGGAUCCUCACACACACGACGUUAUCGGAACCAACCCGAAGAAGCAACACCGGAAAGAAGCAAACAACAUAGUAAACAACCACCACAUAAACAUGGCAGGAUGCACAACCAAGUAUGAUGCAUGUCCGGUUUAAAUGUUCAUGGCACGACAAAGUGCACAAGCAAUUCUACAUAUUAAGUGGAGCUCAAUAUGCACGAGUUGCAUAUUGACGAAACACCACAUCAAUUAUUUAGUUCUCUCUUGGUUAGGUACUCAACAAUAUUAAAUGUUGUUUAAACAUGGCAAGAGGUGAUACAUAAUAAAACUACCUAACUAGGCAAGUUUAAAUGAGGCCGGAACAACAAAACAACAAGUCCGGAAACUCCUCAUAUGCAUAAAUUAGAUUUGGUACUGUUCUGCCCUAAACAAUAUUUUAGAGUUGUUAAACAUGCAAAGUAAAGCCACCAUGUUAAACUAGGCAAAAUUCUACCCCAUUUACAUAUAAGGUUUAUUAAAAUCCGAGCUACGGUUAUUUAGUUAUGAAUUAAAGCAUUUUAGCAAGUUAUUUAAGCAAAUUUAAACAAACAGCAUUUUAAACAUGUUAAACAUGGACGAAAGUUGGAUAUUAUUAAACUAGAUGAAAUUCUAAGCAAGUUAUAUAUAUAGUUCAUUUUAAUCCGAUGCACCAAUUGUGAGUUAUUAUAUGCAUGUAGUCUAGGGAGUUUUCCACAAAACCGAAGUCUCUGGAAUAAAGGCAAAAACGCAGACCUGAAAAAAAAACAGGAACUGGGCCGAAUCUGGCCGGCCCAACAAGAGAAAAAAAUCAAGAGGAGGGGGCGCUCGGGGGCUGCUCACCCUGGGCCUGGCCAAGUCGGUGGGAGGAGGGAGGCCUGCAGGGGCGAUGCUGGGCCGGGAGGCCUAGCGCUGGGCCUGGGUGCGAUCUGUCGCUGGCGCUCCAAGCGAAUAGGGAGGCGGGUCAACGCAGGGGUGCUCGUCCCCUUCCCUGGUUCGAACGAAGCAGAGGACGCAGGGGAACGGCGGCAAGGCAGCAGCGGAGGGCGGUGUCUAGCGCGAUGUAGGCGAACUUGGCGCAACUCCGGCGAGCUGAGGACUCCGGCGGGACGGCAGGGAUGGAGCGGACGAACGGAUCCAGCCCUAUGGAGCCGAUUUGACCAGAGGCGAGGCGAGGGGUGGAACGAGGCGAAUAUGGGCUUCCGGUCCAGGCAGUCAUGGCGGGGAGGCGCUCCGGCGAGGCAGGGGUCGACUGGAGGUCGGGGAUGGACUAGACCCUCCAUUCCCAGUCAGAUCCAGCGAGGACUUGGGGUCUAGGAGCCAUGGCAUCUUCGGGAGCUCCUGAGGUCAUCCAUGGCAGAGAGGGAGAGAGGUUAGAGAGGAAGAAAAAUAUGGCAGGGAUGAGAGAUAGGAGUACAGAGAGGAUCGGAGGGACCUGGUCGGGGAGGGCCGGUGAGGUCCGGCCUGGCGGUGUCGGUUGGCUCGGUGGGAGGAUCGGGAAGACAUGGGAUGUCCUGAUUGGAGUGACAGGGAAAACGAGGUGGAUCUCGUGGCUGACGGCGGGACAAGACUGAUGGGACAAACUCCUUGAUUUUAGGGUUAGGGGCUAUAUAUAGCAUGUAGGUGAAAGGAGAGGGAUAUGGAUCAUCGGAUCGAAAACCUACGGACGAGAAUAAAUAUGCUAAGGAGUACAAUAAAUAAAACGAUGAUAUUUUGAAGAUGUUUGGGGAUGUUCCGGACCCAACGGUGAGGAAUGUCCGGGUCGGGUUCGGGUAAGUUUCGGACACGCGCGAGGGGUCGAUGCACUGUGCAAAGAGGGGUAAGCUGGCCUGGCGGUUGGCAGUGGACUGAGAGGAGAGAAGAGAAAGCGGCCCGGCAACAGUUUUCGGAGAUCGAAAACGCCCGACGUUAGACCGACUAUAAUGCCGCUAUAGUUAUCUGUUGGGGCGUCAAACAAACUCCGAAUGCGACGAAAAUUGGCAGGCGGCCUACCUACAACAAAACAACACCGCACGCCAACUUUCAUCCCAUUCCGAGAACAUUUUCCGGCCACUUAUAAAAUACUAUUUCGGACAUGCCUCGGGCGCGUGCAAGUGUGUCUGGGCUUAGAACGGACAACGGAAGGAACGAGGAGACCGGGACGGAUGCAAGUUUUGAAAACAUGAUGAUGCAAUGCACAUGAUGACAUGAUAUGAAAUGCAUGACACGCAAGCAAAGACAAGGCAACAACAACGAAUAACUGGAGGACACCUGGCACAACGGUCUCGGGGCGUUACAACACUCCACCACUACAAGAGGAUCUCGUCCUGAGAUCUAGAAUGGCACCGGAAGGAAAAAACGGAAGAGAAAGAGAAGAGGUAAAACUAAGUUGCUCCUUUGACAAAUGAGUGAAACCAAAGAACCUUGCAAAGGUUAAGCCAUUUCGAGAAAAGAAUACAACGGAGAUGACGAAGCUGAAAACACUCUGGUUAAAUGGAUAAGCACGAAAAGAACACGAUCUUUGAUAAAACGGGAUGAUGGGUUGAAAAGAGCAACAUCACAAUGCCUCCGGAUCAAAAGAAUAGAAGAUAGAUAAUUGAAAUAAAAGAAUGGAGAAGAAAAGGACAACUUCUGCCACAAAAGAGCUUGUAAAAAGCAUCCUUAGGCGAAGGGUUGAACGGAGUUGUUGGAAAACCAACAACGAAAAAGAGUAAACUUGUAGUGGGCUUAUGGAGAACAUCUCAAAACUGAGCUGAAAUUCUGCCACUGACGGAAACGAUAGAUUGGAUUGAUAUCGACAAGGAGACGAGAAACUUAUACCACCAGGAGGAUAAAAGAACUUGGGUCAAUUAUAAGCACCAUAAUAGCAACAAUCCUUAGAAAAAGCUUUAGGUGAAAUAUAACCCAAGAUAACUCCAACGAAGAGGUUGAUGGAUUUAAUAUAUCUCAUUCUUAACAACAUGUGAAUCAUGAAACAUGACUCAAAAUAUCAAGAAUGACAUAAUACCACCUCCAAUGAUACGGUAGAAAGGAUUGCACUUCGGGAUGCAAGAAGAAGAAAAACUUGAGCUUCUUAGCAAAGAAUGUCGAUGGACACUUCGAGAAGGAAUUAAAUCCUUGAUGUAUCCAUCAUGUAGAACCUUCAUGAAGAACUCCAGUAAUAAAAGAAUGAUCCAAAAUAAUUGAAUGAUGAAAAGAAUAAUAUUGAAGCCUUGCAAUGAUUUAGAUAGAGAUCUCCGUGAUAAUAUAAUUGAAAGAGGUUGGAACUCCGGGAAAAAGAGAAGAUGGAACAAAUGAAACCGAGAAUUUGAAGGGCCUCCGGAAUAAAGAAUUAAUCAUUCGGAUGAAACAAGAAUAAGAAUUACAUUAUGCUUAUCCUUCACCAAUUAAAUUGAUGACAAGCAACGGAUUUGACAUACUACUUAUUCUCGUAGAAAGGAUUAAGAUAGAUAUAGCGUCAACUUGGAAAGGUCUUCCAUGAACCACCGGUCGGGUUGAAACAACGAAUAAAUUGAUAUGAUGAAUGAAGGAAGACAAAAAUCUUGGAAGAACCACCGUAAGAAUUGAGAAUGAACGGAAAUACAUGAGAGAGUUUAGAUACAAGAGAACAAAGAGAUCAUGAACUGAUUAGAGAAUAUACUUGAAUGAUGCACCGGUUAGGUUUGGAGAAUGAGAGCUGAAAGCUGGAAUGAAUAAUCCUGAAUUGAUGGCCUUCAGAUCAACAAACUGAAAAGACUCCUGAAUUACUCCGGAUGGGUGAAAAGAAUUCUCAUAAUCAAAACAAUUAUUAGGGGAUGGCAACAAGCUAGAAUCAUGAAUCUUGAAGAGAAUGGAGCAGGAUUGAGAGAAAAUCUUCUUCGGUCUUCAAAUUUUGAAUUACAACGAGAAAUACCACCAUGAAUUGUUUAGACACUCCGGAAGAAUAAAAACAAAGAGGUUGAGCCAAUGGUGAAAAGAAUUUGAAAGAUCUUGGAGAAACCCUCUGACUGAUGAAAAUUCAUUCUUGCGUCACACUUCAAAAAGAAAUUUGGAUAGCUCCGGGAAAAUAAGAAGAGUCAGGUAAGAUCCUGGAAAAAGACCUGUGGGUUAGGGCCCACUCAAAAGAAACACCGUUGAACGAUUGCUUGAAAAGAGAGAUUCCACCGGUUGAAUUUAAAUGGCUUGAAUGAGGUAACAUCCUCGAAAGAUCUUGAACGAAUGUAGAGUGGAAACACGAAUCUUCUGAGAUAUCUUCGGCACUCUGAAACAAAUGAAUAGCGAGGAGUAGAUGAUUAAGAGGUGCACCGGUAUGAGAAGGUAUUGAAAUGAGGAAAAGAUAUGAUCAACAAAGCUUGUAUUGGAUCCGCCGGAGAUGGAAAGAAUGAAGAAUGAUGAACUAGUAGAACAUCUUCUUGAGAACCACCGGGUAAGAAUAUUGACGGAAAAGAAUGGAGAGACUUCACAUGAAUAAAAGGAUACUUGAUUAAGAAAUCCGAGUCCUUGAGGAAAAAGGGUGGGUGGGCGGGAAAAACAAAGGCAACUUGGAGACGGAUGAAACAAACACCGUUGAGAAGAACUGAUACUUGAUCUUGCGAAUGUUGAAGUGAUCGGAUCCACUUGAAGAGAAACACGCCAGUGAAAAAGGAUUGACAUGACAAUCUCGAUUAUCAAGAAGGAUUAGUAUUCACAUCGGAGUAUGAGAACACCAUUUGGGGAAGGUAUGGAAUCAACAUUUGACUUCGAAGCAACUCGAAUACCACAACUCAAAACAAAACAAAGGACUGGCUUGCAGAAUAAGCCGGAACAAACAUAUGAUAGAGAUUUCGUCCGAAGUUUUUGUGGUGGGGCCUACACGGGCUCGAUCGUACAUCACCAUCAUGUACAAGGCAGUGCACAUGACAUACGAAGCAUCCCCGAGUCGGCAUAGCCAAGGACUCUUUAAGACACAACGAGACCACUGUAAAACCAACCGUGAAUAGGAGGACCACUAGACGUCGAACCCCAAUUUCGUAUCAUACAUCUGUCGGAAAGAUAUCCUAAGUGCUACUUGAAUUCCCACUUAUAAACUCCCAAAAUUUUCCGGUUAUGCAAUCAGGUGUUGGGGAUAUAGGGGAAGCAUAAUAUCUCACCCAAAACUAACAAAUCCUACAUCCAGCUGUAUCCAUCCUUCAACACAUAACCAAGAAACCUUCGGAAAUCGUCUACCUCAACCUUCGAAAAGUAUCCGUUAUACGAGUUAUGGCAAUACUCCCGAACUCCCGCCCCAGUACUGGGUGGCGUCGAGGUUAUCUCACCAACAACUACAUAAAAGAGAUUUCUGAUGUCGGUGAAACUAAACUCAGGUAUUCCAGAACUACAACGAUAAAAUUGUGACGACAACACCUCGAAGCUCAACUCCCUGGGACACUGCCACAACCCCUAAAUGACAGGAGGCACCAAGAACAAUGUUCUCGUCACAAAUCGAUCGGAACGAUUCCAAGAUACCCGCGUGAUCCUAAAUAAAAUUUUAGUGAAAUUUGAGAAGAGAAGAGUCAAAACUCUACGUCAAGAUGCCUUACCAGAGCGAUGAAGGGACUGGGGAGUAAAAGAAUUCCUAAACUCUCCGAUAUAUAAUUCCUAAAUGACUCAAAACAUUUUUCUAGACUCAACUCGUCCACUAAUUCGAUCAAGCAGUGGGGGCUCCUAAGGUCGGGAAAGGCUCUGAUUACCAACUUGUAACGCCCUCGAUGCGGCUAUAUCUCCCACGUGUCGAAGCACGACUUAGAGGCAUAACCGCAUUGAAAGCAAUGUCGCAAGUGAGGUAAUCUUCACACAACCCAUGUAAUACAUAAGGGAAAGAGAUACAUAGUUGGCUUACACUCGCCGCUUCACACAAUUACAGGAAUAAAGCAUUACAUCAACCAGAUACAAUCAAGGUCCGACUACGGAACCAAAAUAAAAGAAGAACCCCAAAUGCGACAAGGUCCCGAUCGCCCCAACUGGGCACCACUACUGAUCAACUGGAAACGGAUCAACACAAAGGCCAAGAUCUGUAUCGAGCUCCUCCUUGAGCUUGGUUGCGUCAUCUGCACAGUCUCAUCGGCACCUGCAAGCUGGUUUUGGAAGUAUCUGUGAGCCACGUGGACUCAGCAAUCUCGCACCCUCGCGAUCAAGACUAUUUAAGCUUAUGGGUAAGGUAAAGGUAUGAGGUGGAGCUGCAGCAAGCGACUAGCAUAUAUGGUGGCUAACAUACGCAAAUGAGAGCGAGAAGAGAAGGCAAAAGCACGGUCGAACAACUAUGAUCAAGAAGUGAUCCUAGAACAACCUACGUCAAGCAUUACUCCAACACCGUGUUCACUUCCCGGACUCCGCCGGAAAGAGACCAUCACGGUUACGCACACGGUUAAUGCAUUUUAAUUAAGGUCAACUUCAGGUUUUCUACAACCGGACGUUAACAAAUUCCCAUCUGCCCAUAACCGCGGGCACGGCUUUCGAAAGUUCAAAUCCCUGCAGGGGUGUCCCAACUUAGCCCAUCACAAGCUCUCACGGUCAACGAAGGAUAUUCCUUCUAUCGGGAAGACCCGAUCAGACUCAGAAUCCCGGUUACAAGACAUUUCGACAAUGGUAAAACAAGACCAGCAACACCGCCCGAAUGUGCCGACAAAUCCUGAUAGGAGCUGCACAUAUCUCGUUCUCAGGGCACACUCAGAUGAGCACUACGUACAACUAAAAACCAACCCUCGAGUUUCCCCGAGGUGGCGCUACAAGUGGCUCUGUUUGGACCAACACUCAGAGGAGCACUGGCCCGGGGGGGUUUAAAUAAAGAUGACCCUCAGGAGAGCGACUCCCAAGGGAAAAAGAGGCUAGGUGGCAACUGGUAAAACCAAUGUUGGGCAUUGCUGGAGGAGUUUUAUUCAAGGCGAACUAUCAAGGGGUUCCCAUUAUUACCCAACCGCGUAAGGAACGCAAAAUCCGGGAACAUAACACCGAUAUGACGGAAACUAGGGCGGCAAGAGUGGAACAAAACACCAGGCAUAAGGCCGAGCCUUCCACCCUUUACCAAGUAUAUAGAUGCAUUAAUUAAAUAAGAUAUAUUGUGAUAUCCCAACAAGUAAACAUGUUCCAACAAGGAACAACUUCUCCAUGUUCCAACAAGGAACAAACUUCAAUCUCCACCUGCAACUAACAUAGCUAUAAGAAGGGCUGAGCAAAGCGGUAACAUAGCCAAACAACGGUUUGCUAGGACAAGGUGGGUUAGAGGCUUGGUUCAACAAUAUGGGUGCCAUGAUAAGCAAGUGGUAGGUAUCGCAGCAUAGGCAUAGCAAAAGAGCGAGCAACUAAGCAAGCAAAGAUAGAAGUGAUUUCGAGGGUAUGGUCAUCUUGCCUGAAAUCCCGCAAGGAAGAAGAACGAGUCCAUGAAGAAGAUAAACGGACGUAGUCAAACGGAUCCUCACACACACGACGUUAUCGGAACCAACCCGAAGAAGCAACACCGGAAAUAAGCAAACAACAUAGUAAACAACCACCACAUAAACAUGGCAGGAUGCACAACCAAGUAUGAUGCAUGUCCGGUUUAAAUGUUCAUGGCAUGACAAAGUGCACAAGCAAUUCUACAUAUUAAGUGGAGCUCAAUAUGCACGAGUUGCAUAUUGACGAAACACCACAUCAAUUAUUUAGUUCUCUCUUGGUUAGGUACUCAACAAUAUUAAAUGUUGUUUAAACAUGGCAAGAGGUGAUACAUAAUAAAACUACCUAACUAGGCAAGUUUAAAUGAGGCCGGAACAACAAAACAACAAGUCCGGAAACUCCUCAUAUGCAUAAAUUAGAUUUGGUACUGUUCUGCCCUAAACAAUAUUUUAGAGUUGUUAAACAUGCAAAGUAAAGCCACCAUGUUAAACUAGGAAAAAUUCUACCCCAUUUACAUAUAAGGUUUAUUAAAAUCCGAGCUACGGUUAGUUAGUUAUGAAUUAAAGCAUUUUAGCAAGUUAUUUAAGAAAAUUUAAACAAACAGCAUUUUAAACAUGUUAAACAUGGAUGAAAGUUGGAUAUUAUUAAACUAGAUGAAAUUCUAAGCAAGUUUCAUAUAUAAUUCAUUUUAAUCCGAUGCACCAAUUGUGAGUUAUUAUAUGCAUGUAGUCUAGGGGGUUUUCUGCAAAACUGAUGUCUCUGGAAUAAAGGCAAAAACGCAGACCUGAAAAAAAAUCAGGAACUGGGCUGAAUCUGGCGGGCCCAACAAGAGAAAAAAAAUCAAGAGGAGGGGGCGCUCGGGGGCUGCUCACCCUGGGCCUGGCCAAGUCGGUGGGAGGAGGGAGGCCUGCAGGGGCGAUGCUGGGCCGGGAGGCCUAGCGCUGGGCCUGGGUGCGAUCUGUCGCUGGCGCUCCAAGCGAAGAGGGAGGCGGGUCAACGCAGGGGUGCUCGUCCCCUUCCCUGGUUCGAACGAAGCAGAGGACGCGGGGGAACGGCGGGAAGGCAGCAGCGGAGGGCGGUGUCUAGCGCGAUGUAGGCGAACUUGGCGCAACUCCGGCGAGCUGAGGACUCCGGCGGGACGGCAGGGAUGGAGCAGACGAACGGAUCCAGCCCUAUGGAGCCGAUUUGACCAGAGGCGAGGCGAGGGGUGGAACGAGGCGAAGAUGGGCUUCCGGUCCAGGCAGUCAUGGCGGGGAGGCGCUCCGAUGAGGCAGGGGUCGACUGGAGGUCGGGGAUGGACUAGACCCUUCAUUCCCAGUCAGAUCCGGCGAGGACUUGGGGUCCAGGAACCAUGGCAUCUUCGGGAGCUCCUGAGGUCAUCCAUGGCAGAGAGGGAGAGAGGUUAGAGAGGAAGAAAAAUAUGGCAGGGAUGAGAGAUAGGAGUACAGAGAGGAUCGGAGGGACCUGGUCGGGGAGGGCCGGUGAGGUCCGGCCUGGCGGUGUUGGUUGGCUCGGGGAAAACGAGGUGGAUCUCGUGGCUGGCGGCGGGACAAGACUGAUGGGACAAACUCCUUGAUUUUAGGGUUAGGGGCUAUAUAUAGCAUGUAGGUGAAAGGAGAGGGAUAUGGAUCAUCGGAUCGAAAACCUACGGACGAGAAUAAAUAUGCUAAGGAGUACAAUAAAUAAAACGAUGAUAUUUUGAAGAUGUUUGGGGAUGUUUCGGACCCAACGGUGAGGACUGUCCGGGUCGGGUUCGGGUAAGUUUCGGACACGCGCGAGGGGUCGAUGCACUAUGCAAAGAGGGGUAAGCUGGCCUGGCGGUUGGCAGUGGACUGAGAGGAGAGAAGAGAAAGCGGCCCGGCAACAGUUUUCGGAGACCGAAAACGCCCGACGUUAGACCGACUAUAAUGCCGCUAUAGUUAUCCGUUGGGGCGUCAAACGAACUCCAAAUGCGACGAAAAUUGGCAGGCGGCCUACCUACAACAAAACAACACCGCACGCCAACUUUCAUCCCAUUCCGAGAACAUUUUCCGGCCACUUAUAAAAUACUAUUUCAGACAUGCCUCGGGCGCGUGCAAGUGUGUCUGGGCUCAGAACGGACAACGGAAGGAACGAGGAGACCGGGACGGAUGCAAGUUUUGAAAACAUGAUGAUGCAAUGCACAUGAUGACAUGAUAUGAAAUGCAUGACACGCAAGCAAAGACAAGGCAACAACAACGAAUAACUGGAGGACACCUGGCAUAACGGUCUCGGGGCGUUACACCUCUGCACUUGGAGGCCCAACAACGUCUACAAGAAGAAGGUUGUGUAAUAGACAUCAAGCUCUUUUCUGGCGCCGUUGCCGGGGAGGUGAGUGCUUGAAGGUAUAUCUUUAGAUCUUGCAAUCGAAUCUUUUUGUUUCUUGUUUUAGAACUAGUUUAGUUUAUAAAAGAAAACUACAAAAAAUAUGGAAUUGAGUUUGCCUCAUGCGCUUCAUCUUUUUAAUAUCUUUCAUGAGUAUGAUGGAAAGGAAAAUUGUGCCAAAGUGUUAGAAGAAGAAUGCAUUAAAAUGUUUGGCACUAAAUCUUUGAAUGAUGAGCAUGAUUGCAAUGUUGUUAGUAUGAACUCUUUAAAUAUCCAUGGUACUAAUGAUGAUUGCACUAGUUAUGAUGAAAAUGUCUCCUAUAAACAUGUCAAUUUUUGUGGAGUGCAUUGGCUUUGCAAGUACACACCAAAUAGGGAAGAUACCAAGAGGCAUAAGUACUUAGAAACUAAAUUGUUGCAAUUAAGGCUAGAUGAUUGUGUUGAAAAUUUAAAUUUUCUUGGCCAUACUUGUGAGCUUUGCAAUGAACGUGGUCAUUUAACCAUCCGAUGCAAAUUGUUUCAUGAUCUAAUCGUUUCCAAAAAUUGUGAUGAUUUGAUUUCUCUUGCACAUCAUAAUGAACUUAGUUUGCUUAUGGGUUACGAAGAAAUGAAACGUAUAACUAACUAUCUUCCAGAAUUUGCCCGUUAUAAACUUCUUGGUUUUGAUCUAGAGGAAAUUUAUAUGUAUUGUGCGGUGAAUUGCAUUGAAAAUCCUUAUAUUGCCAAUUACGUAAAGAAAAGAAAACAAAUAGAGGAUGAAGAGAAUACUAACAAAAGGGAAGAGACUUCCCAAUACCCUUCUAUUAUUUCUUAUGAUGAAUCAGGUAACGAGGAGGAGCCUCCUAUUCAACCAAUCUCAUUAAUAAGGAGCUCCAAAAAAAGGAUUGAACCCACACAUGAUGUGGUGAAUAAGAAGAAAAGAAAAAGGAAGAGAGGUAAAAAGAUAUCUCUCCCAAAUAAUGCUGCUCAUAUUACUAUUGUGCCUCAUGAAAAUAUAAUUGUGGAAGAUAAUGAUACUUCUUAUGAUCUUGAAAAUCUUUUUGGCACUUUCUUGGAAGAAUAUGAUAAUUGCUAUACUAUUGGUGCUAUCAAUACUAUUAAUGAUGAGAGUGAUUAUGAUUAUGAUAUGAAAAGGCCCAAGCUUGGGGAUGCUAUGUUUGAUGAAGAUGAUAUUUUUAGUCUCCCAAGUUUUGAUGAGAAAAAUUAUUAUGAUGAAAUCAUGCCUCCUAUUUAUGAUGAUUAUAUUGAUGAAAGUGGAUUUGGAGAGGUCAUGACUUUAUUUAGUAAUGAUUCCACUAUUUUGAAAGAGGUUCCAAUUGAUUAUGAGAACAAAGUUGCUAUCUAUGAUGAUUAUUGUGAUGACUUGUAUGCUAUAAAGAAUAAUGAUAUCCAUGAAACUUGUCAUCAUGAUUUUAGUUUUCAAUUGGAUUAUGCCUCACAUGAUAAUUAUUUUGUUAAGUUUGCUCCCACUAUUAUUCAUGAGAAGAAUUUUGCUUGUGUGGAGAGUAAUAAAAUUUCUAUGAUUGUAGAUCAUGAAAAGAAUGCUUUAGGUGCUGGUUAUAUUGUUGAAUUCAUUCAUGAUGCUACUGAAAAUUAUUAUGAGGGAGGAAUAUAUGCUUGUAGGAAUUGCAAUAAUACCAAGUUUCCUCUCUAUGUGCUUAAAGUUUCGAAGUUAUGCUUGUUUUGCCUUCCUAUGCUAGUUGAUUUUUGUUCCCACAAGUUGUUUGCUCACAAAAUCCCUAUGCAUAGGAAGUGGGUUAGACUUAAAUGUACUAGUCAUAUUCUUCAAGAUGCUCUCUUUAUGUUACAAUUCUUAUCCUUUAUGUGAGCAUCAUUGAAAUCAUCAUGCCUAGCUAGGGGUGUUAAACGAUAGCGCUUGUUGGGAGGCAACCCAAUUUUAUUUUUGUUCCUGUUUAGUACUCCCUCUGUAAACUAAUAUAAGAGCAUUUAGAUUACUACUUUAGUGAUCUAAACGCUCUUAUAUUAGUUUACGGAGGGAGUUAUAAAUAAUUUAUCUAGCCUCUGUUAUGAUUGAGUUUUUAUGUUUUAAUUAGUGUGUGUUCCAAGUAGAACCGUUGGGAAGACUUGGGGAAAGUCUUGUUGAUCUUGCUGUAAAAAACAGAAACUUUAGCGCUCACGAGAAUUGCUGCCAUUUUUUAUUGGAGAGUGAUAUUUAGUUAAUUAUUUUUGAAGAUGAUUAAUAGAUAAAUUCCUCACGUCCAGCAAUUUAUUUUAGAAUUUUUGAGGUUCCAGAAGUUUGCGUUAGUUACAGAUUACUACAGAAUGUUCUGUUUUUGACAGAUUCUAUUUUUCAUGUGUUGUUUACUUAUUUUGAUGAAUAUAUGGCUAGUAAAAGAGUUUAUAAACCAUAGAUAAGUUGGAAUACAGUAGGUUUAACACCAAUAUAAAUAAAUAAUGAGUUCAUUACAGUACCUUGAAGUGGUGUUUUGUUUUCUUUCGCUAACGGAGCUUACGAGUUUUCUGUUAAGUUUUGUGUUGUGAAGUUUUCAAGUUUUGGAUAAAGAUUCGAUGGACUAUGGAAUAAGGAGUGGCAAGAGCCUAAGAUUGGGGAUGCCCAAGGCACCCCAAGGUAAUAUUCAAGGACAACCAAAAGCCUAAGCUUGGGGAUGCCCCGGAAGGCAUCCCCUCUUUCGUCUUCGUUCAUCGAUAACUUUACUUUGAGCUAUAUUUUUAUUCGCCACAUGAUAUGUGUUUUGCUUGGAGCGUCAUUUUAUUUUAUUUAGUUUUGCUUGCUGUUUGAAUAAAAUACCAAGAUCUGAAAUUCUUAAAUUUUAGAGAGUCUUCAUAUAGUUGCAUGAUUAUUCGACUACUCAUUGAUCUUCACUUAUAUCUUUCGGAGUAGUUUGUCGUUUGCUCUAGUGCUUCACUUAUAUCUUUUUAGAACACAGUGGUGGUUUUAUUUUGAAGAAUUAGAUGAACUCUCGUGCUUCACUUAUAUUAUUUUGAGAGUCUUUAGAACAUCAUGGUAGUUUGCUUUGGUUAUGAAACUAGUCCUAAUAUGAUGGGCAUCCAAGAGGGAUAUAAUAAAAACUUUCAUAUAGAGUGCAUUGAAUACUAUGAGAAGUUUGAUACUAGAUGAUUGUUUUGAGAUAUGAGGAUGGUAAUAUUAGAGUCAUGCUAGUUGAGUAGUUGUGAAUUUGAGAAAUACUUGUGUUGAAGUUUGUGAUUCUCGUAGCAUGCACGUAUGGUGAACCGUUAUGUGAUGAAGUCAGAGCAUGAUUUAUUUAUUGAUUGUCUUCCUUAUGAGUGGCGGUCGGGGACGAGCGAUGGUCUUUUCCUACCAAUCUAUCCCCCUAGGAGCAUGCGCGUAGUACUUUGUUUCGAUAACUAAUAAAUUUUUGCAAUAAGUAUGUGAGUGCUUUAUGACUAAUGUUGAGUCCAUGUAUUAUACGCACUCUCACCCUUCCACCAUUGCUAGCCUCUCUAGUACCGCACAACUUUCGCCGGUACCAUAAACCCACCAUAUAUCUUCCUCAAAACAGCCACCAUACCUACCUAUUAUGGUAUUUCCAUAGCCAUUCCGAGAUAUAUUGCCAUGCAACUUUCCACCGUUCCGUUUAUUAUGACACGCUCCAUCAUUGUCAUAUUGCUUUGCAUGAUCAUGUAGUUGACAUGGUAUUUGUGGCAAAGGCACCGUUCAUAAUUCUUUCAUACAUGUCACUCAUGAGUCAUUGCACAUCCUGGUACACCGCCGGAGGCAUUCAUAUAGAGUCAUAUCUUGUCCUAAGUAUCGAGUUGUAAUUCUUGAGUUGUAAGAAAAUAAAAGUGUGAUGAUCAUCAUUAUUAGAGCAUUGUCCCAGUGAGGAAAGGAUGAUGGAGACUAUGAUUCCCCCACAAGUCGGGAUGAGACUUCGGACGAAAAAAAAGAGGCCAAAGAAGCCCAAAUAAAAAAAGAGGCCAUAAAAAAAAGAAGGCCCCAAUAAAAAAAUAAAAAAAUAAAAAAAUGAAUGAGAGAAAGAGAGAGAAGGGGCAAUGCUACUAUCCUUUUACCACACUUGUGCUUCAAAGUAGCACCAUGAUCUUCAUGAUAGAGAGUCUCCUAUGUUGUCACUUUCACAUACUAUUGGGAAUCUUUCAUUAUAGAACUUGGCUUGUAUAUUCCAACGAUGGGCUUCCUCAAAAUGCCCUAGGUCUUCGUGAGCAAGCGAGUUGAAUGCACACCCACUAGUUUCUUUUGUUGAGCUUUCAUACAUUUAUAGCUCUAGUGCAUCUGUUGCAUGGCAAUCCCUACUCACUCACAUUGAUAUCUAUUGAUGGGCAUCUCCAUAGCCUGUUGAUACGCCUAGUUGAUGUGAGACUAUAUUCUCCUUUUUGUCUUCACCACAACCACCAUUCUAUUCCACCUAUAGUGCUAUGUCCAUGGCUCAUGCUCAUGUAUUGCGUGAAGAUUGAAAAAGUUUGAGAACAUCAAAAGUAUGAAACAAUUGCUUGGCUUGUCAUCGGGGUUGUGCAUGAUUUAAAUAUUUUGUGUGGUGAAGAUAGAGCAUAGCCAGACUAUAUGAUUUUGUAGGGAUGGCUUUCUUUGGCCAGGUUAUUUUGAGAAGACAUGAUUGCCUUGUUAGUAUGCUUGAAGUAUUAUUAUUUUUAUGUCAAUAUGAACUUUUAUCUUGAAUCUUUUGGAUCUGAAUAUUCAUACCACAAUUAAGAAGAAUUACAUUGAAAUUAUGCCAAGUAGCACUCCACAUCAAAAAUUAUCUUUUUUAUCAUUUACCUACUCGAGGACGAGCAGGAAUUAAGCUUGGGGAUGCUGAUACGUCUACAACGUAUCUAUAAUUUUUGAUUGCUCCAUGCUAUAUUAUCUUCUGUUUUGGACAUUAUUGGGAUUUAUUAUCCACUUUUAUAUUAUUUUUGGGACUAACCUAUUGACCCAGAGCCCAGUGCCAGUUCCUGUUUUUUCCCUUGUUUCAGUGUUUCGAAGAAAAGGAAUAUCAAAGGGAGUCGAAACGGAAUGAAACCUUCUGGAGAAGUUAUUUUUGGAAGGAAAGCAACCUGAUAGACUUGGAGUGCAUGUCGGGAAAGAAACGAGGGAGCCACGAGGUAGGGGGCGCGCCCACCCCCCCAGGGCGCGCCCUCCACCCUCGUGGGCCCCUCGUGGCUCCCUUGACGUACUUCUUCCUCCUAUAUAUACCCAUAUACCCUAAAACGAUCGGGGAACAGAAUAGAUCGGGAGUUUUGCCGCCAGAAGCCUCCGUAGCCACCGAAAACCAAUCUAGACCCGUUCCGGCACCCUGCCGGAGGGGGAAAUCCCUCACCGGUGGCCAUCUUCAUCAUCCCGGCGCUCUCCAUGACGAGGAGGGAGUAGUUCACCCUCGGGGCUGAGGGUAUGUACCAGUAGCUAUGUGUUUGAUCUCUCUCUCUUGUGUUCUUGAGGUGGUACGAUCUUGAUGUAUCGCGAGCUUUGCUAUUAUAGUUGGAUCUUAUGAUGUUUCUCCCCCUCUACUCUCUUGUAAUGGAUUGAGUUUUCCCUUUGAAGUUAUCUUAUUGGACUGAGUCUUUAAGGAUUUGAGAACACUUGAUGUAUGUCUUGCUUGGGAUACCCGUGGUGACAAUGGGGUAUUCUAUUGAUCCACUUGAUGUAUGUUUUGGUGAUCAACUUGCGGGUUCCGCCCAUGAACCUAUGCAUAGGGGUUGGCACACGUUUUUGUCUUGACUCUCUGGUAGAAACUUUGGGGCACUCUUUGAAGUACUUUGUGUUGGUUGAAUAGAUGAAUCUGAGAUUGUAUGAUGCAUAUCAUAUAAUCAUACCCACAGAUACUUGAGGUGACAUUGGAGUAUCUAGGUGACAUUAGGGUUUUGGUUGAUUUGUGUCUUAAGGUGUUAUUCUAGUACGAACUCUAGGGCUGUUUGUGACACUUAUAGGAAUAGCCCAACGGAUUGAUUUGAAAGAAUAACUUUGAGGUGGUUUCGUACCCUACCAUGAUCUCUUCGUUUGUUCUCUGCUAUUAGUGACUUGGAGUGACUAUUUGUUGCAUGUUGAGGGAUAGUUAUAGGAUGCAAUUAUGUUAAUAUUGUUGAGAGGACUUGCACUAGUGUUAGUAUGAACCCUAGGCCUUGUUUCAACACAUUGCAAUACCGUUUACGCUCACUUUUAUCAUUCGUUACCUUGCUGUUUUUAUAUUUUUCAGAUUACAAAAACUAUUAUCUACCAUCCAUAUACCACUUGUAUCACCAUCUCUUCGCCGAACUAGUGCACCUAUACAAUUUACCAUUGUAUUGGGUGUGUUGGGGACACAAGAGACUCUUUGUUAUUUGGUUGCAGGGUUGCUUGAGAGAGACCAUCUUCAUCCUACGCCUCCUACGGAUUGAUAAACCUUAGGUCAUCCACUUGAGGGAAAUUUGCUACUGUCCUACAAACCUCUGCACUUGGAGGCCCAACAACGUCUACAAGAAGAAGGUUGUGUAGUAGACAUCAAUAUACUUCUAUUUUGUAACAAUCAUCAUUUGUACUUGAUAAUACUGAUGUGAUCUUCCAUGGGGCACAUAAUAAUAUCCAACGCAGGAACUUCGAUGUCAUGUUUGUUGCAAAAUAAUGCCACCUGUGCAAAAAAUUCUUCACGUCCAUGAGACCUAGUAUGUUGCAUUCUACUCUUUGCCAAACUAACAAGUGACAUUGCAUUAUCUUGAUCUCUCUUUUGUGAAGAUUUGGACACCGGCGUGUCAUUUGUGUAGCCAAGAAUAACUAACAUCAAGUGAAGAUUGAAAACAAAGUCAAAUGAUUCAAAAACAAGAGCAACUACAUGUAUUCCUGUCAACUUACCUUUUGUGGAGGAUCUUUUCCAAUAACAUCAAGUACUUUGAGGAUUGUGGGAUGCACGCUAACAAUGUGCACAAUGGUUCUAAAAUGGGAUCCCCAUCAAGUAUCACUGGGUCUUGCUAGUCCCAUCUCUUGACUCAACAUACUUCCACUCUCAGUCUCACCCAUUUCAAGUGUUUCCAAAACCUUUCGAGCUCUAACAUAUCAAAGCAUGUCAUGCCGCUUACAAGAAACUCCAAAAGUAUUGAGCAAGUUGCAAAAAUGAUCAAAAACAUCACCCACAUGGUUCAUUUAACUUUGCCACAGCAAUAAGAACUAACUGGAGUUGGCAAAGCAAUGGAUGUAAUUAGUAGACGGUGACUCUUUCAUGAUCAAUGUUUUCAACUCUUUAAUCUCCCCUUUCAUGUUUCUAGCCCCACCAUAUCCUUCCCCAUGUAUUUGACUAGGAGUCAAAUGAUGAUCUUUAAACAAAGUUUCAAUUGCAUCCUUAUGUGACGAUUUUUAUCUUUAUUUUUCUGUAAAGAUAUGUUUGUAAGAACAUAUAAUGCUUACUAUAUGGCCUUAGAUUUUUUUGAAAGAAAAAAGUUACUAAGUACAAGUUUCAUAUCAGCCUUGUGUUGUCAUCAAACUAUUAUUACCUACUAACCAAUACCCAACACGUGAAGCGGAAGAAGAAUCAAAGACCCUUAUAUUUUCAAAAUAAACAUCAUUCCUAAAUCUUCAUAUACUCCAAAUACAACAGCAAUACCAACUGUGACAAACAAUUAAUCUUGCAUAUAUCGGAUAUCGCAUGGAGAUUCGGUGACUACGGUGGCGGCCAUUGUCGUCUUUUCUGUAGAGAAUAUGGAGUAGCGAGCAUCUUGAGAUCCAAAAGAGCAUCCGCAAGGAAAUGCCAACUUCAAAUCCUUUUAUCUCUCGGCUGCUUGCCCGGAUAAAGACAAAAACUUCUACAUGGUUAUGCAUGAACACAUCGAGUGUAGAAAUAAGAAAGGAAAGAAUAGAUGAUCCUCAUUGGCGACACAAUACCAUGCCCUCUUGUAGAAGAGGUUGUCCGCCUUGUGUCCUUGCAAGGAACCCCAACAGUGGAACUGCGUCCAAGUCAACACCACCUCGAGCAGCAAUGGCUUCGAAAAGAUCAUCGUUGUCAUGUCAAUGUCGCUGCCCCCUCACGUCAAAAAAAUGUCGCUGCCCUCGCCAAGGGCAAAGACAUUGAGGACAUCAGCAUUUUCUUUCCAAAGUCGUUUCCCCUAGAGACGAGAUCGAGUUUGGUGUCGGCGAUUGACGAGGGAGACAACAGUGAGAACAACCAUGGAAGGUGCAUGCCUCAAGUGCUGGCAGCUAAGUCACCGACCAAUGAAUUGUCAAAUUACAUAUUUGCAUAGUAGGCAGGCCGAGUAUAAUUUCAUGGAUACUCGGCAUGCACAACGUAAGUCGAGUAUCGGGUAGAAAGAGCGUUGCUACACGUAUGUGCGGCUACGUGAUGUGGGAGGUUACGUAAUGACCUGGGAAUGUUUAAUUGGGCAUUAUUGGGUGAUGUCUACUACGCAACCUUAUUCUUGUAGACACGUGUUGGGCCUCUAAGCGCAGAGUUUUGUAGGACAGUAGCAAUUUUCCCUCAACUGAAUGACCUAAGGUUUAUCAAUCUAUGGGAGGCAUAGGAUGAAGAUGGUAUCUCUCAAACAACCCUGCAAUCAAAUACAAGAAAUCUCUUGUGUUCCCAACACACCCAAUACAAUGGCAAAUUGUAUAGGUGCACUAGUUCGGCGGAGAGAUGGUGACAAAAGUGUAAUUUGGAUGGUAGAAAUAUAUUUUUAUAAUCUGAAUAAAUAAAAACAGCAAGGUAGCAAAUAGUAAACGGGCACAAGAACGAUAUUGCAAUGCUUGAAAAUGAGGCCUAGGGUACAUACUUUCGCUAGUGCAAUCUCUCAACAAUGCUAAUAUAAUUGGAUCAUAUAACCGUCCCUCAACGUGCAACGAAGAAUCACUCCAAAGUUCCUAUCUAGCGGAGAACAUAAGACGGAAUUGUUUGUAGGGUACGAAACCACCUCAAAGCUAUUCUUUCCGAUCAGUCUAUCCUAGAGUUCGUACUAAAAUAACACGAAGCUAUUCUUUCCGAUCGAUCUAACCAAGAGUUCGUACUAAAAUAACACCAAAGAAAAUUCAGAUUCAUAAUAUUCAAUCCAACACAAAGAACUUCAAAGAGUGCCCCAAGAUUUCUACCGGAGAAACAAAGACAAGAACGUGCAUCAACCCCUAUGCAUAGAUUACCCCAAUGUCACCUCGGGAAUCCGCGAGUUGAGUGCCAAAACAUAUAUCAAGUGAAUCAAUAUGAUACCCCAUUGUCACCACGAGUAUUCAAUUGCAAGACAUAUAUCAAGUGUUCUCAAAUCCAUAAAAGUAUUCAAUCCGAUAACAAUGAAAUCUCAAAGGGAAAAACUCAAUUCAGCACAACAAGAUAGAGAGGGGAAAACACCAUAUGAUCCGACUAUAUUAACAAAGCCCGCGAUACAUCAAGAUCAUGACAUCUCAAGAACACGAGAUAUAUAUAUAUAUAUAAAGAGAGAGAGAUUAAACACAUAGCUACUGGUACAAAUCCUCAGCCCCGAGGGUGGACUACUCCCUCCUCAUCGUGGUGGCCGCCGGGAUGAUGAAGAUGGCCACCGGAGAUGAUUCCCCCCUCCGACAGGGUGCCGGAAAGGUUCUAGAUUGGUUUUCGAUGGCUACACAGGCCUGCGGCGGCGGAACUUCUGAUCUAGGGUUACCCCUGAUGGUUUAUCUAUUUAUAGGAUUUUUUGGCGUUGGUUUCACACUAAGAUGGGCCUCGAUGUGAGCACAACCCACCGGGGCAAGCCAGGCCCACCAGGCGCGCCCUGGUGGGUUGUGCCCUCCUUGUGGCUCUUCUAGCCCUCCCACGAAGCUUCGGGGUCUCUUUUGUUCCAAAAAAAUCAUCAAAAUUUUUAGCUCAUUUGGAGAACUUUCAUUUCUGCACAAAAAACAACAGCAUGGUAGUUCUGCUGAAAACAGCGUCAGUCCAGGUGAAUUCCAUGCAAAUCAUACCAAAACCAUAUAAAUUGUUGUAAACAUGGCAUGGAUACUUCAUAAAUUAUAGAUACGUUGGAGACGUAUAAGCAUCCCCAAGCUUAAUUCCUACUCGUACCCGAGUAGGUAAAUGAUAAAAUAAAUAAUUUAUGAAGUGUGAAUGCUAGGAAAGUGCAUAAGUUUGAUCAAUGAUAAUUUCAAUCACUUUUCCUAGCAUCAUAAUAGCAACCCUUUCUCAUAAAACUUAUCAUGAUAAAGUAGCAAUUGAAAAUGGAAUUUUUGUUGUGGAAUGCUACCUAUCAUAUUCAUCAUGAACUCUUUUCUUUUGUAGCAUGGACAUUUGGACUUCUAUAUGGUUCAAAGCAAUAGUCUAGUUUUGACAUGAUGACUUUAAUACUCAAGCAUACCAACAAGCAACCAUGUCUUUCAAAAUAUCAACACUAAAAUAAGUUAUCCCUAGCCCAUCAUGCUCAAUCAUUGAUCCAUUCAUGAAACACACUCGCGUAUUAGCUACACCCAAUGCUUAAGUACGAUCAUAGUGCCCCCUAGUUGGUGCUUUAUAAGAGAAGAUGGAGACUCGAAUUAAAAAUAAAAAUUGCAUAAAGUAAAAUAAAGGCCAUUUGCAUAGGGAAGUAUGGAUUUGUAGAGGUGCCAGAGCUCAAAGCGAAAAUCGAGAGAUAAAAAAUAUUUUUGAGAGGCAUACUUUUCCCACCAACGAAAAUGACUUAGAGCUCCCAACACUUUCCAUGCUAGAUAUAUCAUAGGUGGUUCCCAAACAGAAAAUAAAGUUUAUUCCUUUUUCAACCAUACUUUCACUUCCCAUGGCUAACUGUAUCAACGCGUGCCCUCCAUACCAACACUUUCCAAGGAAUUUAUUAUUUGACAACAUAAAGUAAAUUCAUUUUUAUUUCGGGACUAGGCAUCCCUAAUACUUUGCCUUACUCUCGUGCAAUGACAAGUGAAUAAACACUCAUCGUGAGAAUAACACAUCUAGCAUGGAAAAUAUUGGCCACCCCUCACCGCCUCGCGAGCGGUACGAGCACACAAAAGAGAAAUUUAUUUUGAAAAUUAGAGAUGGCACAUACAAAUUUGCUUAGAACGACAAAAGAAUACCGCAUAUAGGUAGGUAUAGUGGACUCAUGUGGCAAAACUGGUUUAAGGGAUUUUGGAUGCACAAGUAGUGAUCAUACUUAGUGCAAAAUGAAGGCUAGCGAAAGAUUGGGAAGCGACCAACCAAGAAACGAAUAAUCUCAUAAGCGAGCAUUAAGCAUAAUUAACACCGAAUAAUGCACCACAAGUAGGAUGUAAUUUCAUUGCAUAACUAUUGACUUUCGUGCUUGCAUAGGUAAUCACAAACCUUAACCCCAAUAUUCUUACUAAAGCAUAAUUACUCAUCAACAUGACUCACAUAUCACAUCAUCAUAUCUCAAAACGAUUACAAGGAAUCAAGUUUGUUUUGUCCAAUGAUCUUCAUGAAAGUUUUUAUUAUAUCCCUCUUGGAUAUCUAUCACUUUGGGACUAAUUUUCAUGUGUUGCUUUUGAUAAGCUCAAACAAAUAUAAGUGAAGAUCAUGAGCAUAAUAUUUCUUUCACUCAAAUUAAUUUAAGUGAAUCAAGAGAGAAUUUCUUCAAAAAUACUAAAGCACACCGUGCUCAAAAUGAUAUAAGUGAAGCACUAGAUCAAUCCCAUAGAAAAGAGCUUCGUUGACGGGAUGUGGAUGCCGCUUACCUAGCCUCCCUGACAACUAUUUGAGGACUCUAUUUUAUUUAAAAACUUUCAGAUAUAAGUAUUUUAUUAAAGAAGCAAGCUAAAUGAAAAUAAAAUGACAUUCUAAGAAUAGCACAACUCAUGUGAAGAAGCAAAAAAAAAC
RNAcentral lists this long non-coding RNA (32918 nucleotides) under Triticum aestivum (bread wheat). RNAcentral's name for it is "long non-coding RNA (TAES_LNC021430)". The stretch from base 23151 to 23237 matches the Rfam family "MIR1120/MIR1122 microRNA precursor family". Lineage: Eukaryota; Viridiplantae; Streptophyta; Magnoliopsida; Poales; Poaceae. The record is from RNAcentral.